AACGAACGCUGGCGGCAGGCUUAACACAUGCAAGUCGAGCGCAUCCUUCGGGCUGAGCGGCGGACGGGUGAGUAACGCGUGGGAACGUGCCCUCUUCUACGGAAUAGCCUCGGGAAACUGAGAGUAAUGCCGUAUACGCCCGCAAGGGGAAAGAUUUAUCGGAGGAGGAUCGGCCCGCGUUGGAUUAGGUAGUUGGUGGGGUAACGGCCUACCAAGCCGACGAUCCAUAGCUGGUUUGAGAGGAUGAUCAGCCACACUGGGACUGAGACACGGCCCAGACUCCUACGGGAGGCAGCAGUGGGGAAUCUUGGACAAUGGGGGCAACCCUGAUCCAGCCAUGCCGCGUGAUCGAUGAAGGCCUUAGGGUUGUAAAGAUCUUUCAGCUGGGAAGAUAAUGACGGUACCAGCAGAAGAAGCCCCGGCUAACUCCGUG
RNAcentral lists this ribosomal RNA (433 nucleotides) under uncultured bacterium. RNAcentral describes it as "partial 16S ribosomal RNA". It matches the Rfam family "Bacterial small subunit ribosomal RNA", at positions 29 to 507 of the family's 1533-position model. The record is from RNAcentral.